This 1135-nucleotide long non-coding RNA is filed under the name Homo sapiens (human). RNAcentral describes it as "long intergenic non-protein coding RNA 904". The record is from RNAcentral. Lineage: Eukaryota; Metazoa; Chordata; Mammalia; Primates; Hominidae.
GGCGCGCUCCGCACCUGGCCUGAAAGCGGGAGAUUUGGCAACCAGUGCGCGUGGGUGCGCCGGCCCUUGCAGCUGGGGACUCUGGAGGCAGACCUUGCCCAAAGCCAGAGGCAGGAACUCCCCAGAUCCUCCCAGGGUAGCAUGGGAGGAUGCCGCCUCCUCCAGGAAGCUCUCUAGCGCUUUUCCGAGUCCUGGAGCCAGGCGGGACUUCUCUGUGGUCGCCUAGAAGGGUAUGAACUUAGGGCAUCCCCAUCUGGGCUGUGAAGGUUUCUGACUUGGGGACCAGGUGCUCAGACCUUCCUGGAUGCUGCUUUCCACAAUAUCUCUACCAGGCAGGCAGGUUCUCUUCAUUUUGCAAAUUUGGUGAAACAGCAUUUGUAAAACUUUAGAAGCUUCCUUGGCUCACACAGGUGGUAGUGGCCCUGUCAGGAUUUGACCCAGGCUCUCGGAUUCCAGAGUUCCUGAAUUUAACCACCUGUACUGUGAUGCCUCCUUAUCAUGUGUGCAUCGUGCAUUACUAUUUUUUAUAGCCUGUAGGGUACUGAGCACCAUGCACACCUACAGUGAUCACAGGCACUGCCUACUGGAAGGUCUUCUUUGGCUGGGUUCCAGUUUCCUCAGACGAUGUAGGGCAGGGAGUUCCACUUGUUAGCAUAUCCCACAGGGCCUUUCUCUUCAAAUGGACCCCAGCAGCCAACCACACAGCUGCCUCAGCAAGCGUAGGAGAUGGCACAUCAGAGACCAACAAUUGUCAGCACAGCAAAACUGGGCAUUUCUUUUCUUACUGAGCUUUGCAGCUACCUACACAGUUGUGUGUGGCAUCUCCUCCUGGGUGCAAGGACAUGAGAUGACAUCAGUUACUGUGAUCUCCAGUAAAAUGUUUAAUACAAGUGGAGACAAUAGAUAACCUUUUCCAACUCCUGAUCGGGGGGUGGAAAGUGCUCAGUGUGCUAUUAACUUAAGGCUUUUAUAGAUGUGCUUUAUCAUGUAAAGGCUGUUCCCUCCAAUUCUUUCUAUACUGAGAAAUUUUUUCAAAGAGGUGUUAAAUUUUUUCAACCCAUGUCACAAAUCUGCAUAUGUACUCCCCUAAACCUAAAAUAAAAGUUGGAAAGAAAAAUAAAACUAUUACUUGAAA